Molecule: unclassified non-coding RNA, 329 nt
Filed under: soil metagenome
Description: partial contains 5.8S ribosomal RNA, internal transcribed spacer 2, and large subunit ribosomal RNA
Rfam family: 5.8S ribosomal RNA (bases 1-120)
Source: RNAcentral
GAUGAAGAACGUAGCGAAAUGCGAUAAGUAAUGUGAAUUGCAGAAUUCAGUGAAUCAUCGAAUCUUUGAACGCACAUUGCGCCCCCUGGUAUUCCGGGGGGCAUGCCUGUCCGAGCGUCAUUACAACCCUCAAGCUCAGCUUGGUGUUGGGCGACGUCCUCUUUGGGGACGCGCCUCGAAACGCUCGGCGGCGUGGCACCGGCUUUAAGCGUAGCAGAAUCUUUCGCUUUGGAAGUCGGGGCCCCGUCUGCCGGAAGACCUGCUCGCAAGGUUGACCUCGGAUCAGGCAGGGAUACCCGCUGAACUUAAGCAUAUCAAUAAGCGGAGGA